CCUUUGGAUUACAAUUUUAAUUAGGAAUUACGGAAAUAGACUUGGAAUAAGUUUUUAGAAGGUGGAUUUGUGAGUAAUUUUGUUAUAGGAUUAUUAGAUGAAGGGUGGAAUAACAUGUGUACAUAUUGCCCGUCGCUCUCGUUAUUUUUGAGAUAAGUCGUAACAUAGUUGAUAUACUGGAAAGUGUAUCUUUUUGG
This 197-nucleotide ribosomal RNA is filed under the name Pachydesmus crassicutis laticollis. Its description in RNAcentral is "partial small subunit ribosomal RNA". The record is from RNAcentral. Lineage: Eukaryota; Metazoa; Arthropoda; Diplopoda; Polydesmida; Xystodesmidae.